RNAcentral lists this ribosomal RNA (510 nucleotides) under Staphylococcus aureus. Its description in RNAcentral is "partial 23S ribosomal RNA". It matches the Rfam family "Bacterial large subunit ribosomal RNA", at positions 2282 to 2791 of the family's 2925-position model. The record is from RNAcentral. Lineage: Bacteria; Bacillati; Bacillota; Bacilli; Caryophanales; Staphylococcaceae.
GUCGCCUCCUAAAAGGUAACGGAGGCGCUCAAAGGUUCCCUCAGAAUGGUUGGAAAUCAUUCAUAGAGUGUAAAGGCAUAAGGGAGCUUGACUGCGAGACCUACAAGUCGAGCAGGGUCGAAAGACGGACUUAGUGAUCCGGUGGUUCCGCAUGGAAGGGCCAUCGCUCAACGGAUAAAAGCUACCCCGGGGAUAACAGGCUUAUCUCCCCCAAGAGUUCACAUCGACGGGGAGGUUUGGCACCUCGAUGUCGGCUCAUCGCAUCCUGGGGCUGUAGUCGGUCCCAAGGGUUGGGCUGUUCGCCCAUUAAAGCGGUACGCGAGCUGGGUUCAGAACGUCGUGAGACAGUUCGGUCCCUAUCCGUCGUGGGCGUAGGAAAUUUGAGAGGAGCUGUCCUUAGUACGAGAGGACCGGGAUGGACAUACCUCUGGUGUACCAGUUGUCGUGCCAACGGCAUAGCUGGGUAGCUAUGUGUGGACGGGAUAAGUGCUGAAAGCAUCUAAGCAUGAA